GGAGAGAUGUCCGAGUGGCUAAAGGAGGCAGACUGUAAAUCUGUUGGCGUACGCCUACGCUGGUUCGAAUCCAGCUCUCUCCACCA
Molecule: transfer RNA, 86 nt
Filed under: Limnobacter parvus
Lineage: Bacteria; Pseudomonadati; Pseudomonadota; Betaproteobacteria; Burkholderiales; Burkholderiaceae
Description: tRNA-Tyr
Rfam family: tRNA
About the family: Transfer RNA (tRNA) molecules are approximately 80 nucleotides in length. Their secondary structure includes four short double-helical elements and three loops (D, anti-codon, and T loops).
Source: RNAcentral